This 441-nucleotide ribosomal RNA is filed under the name uncultured Alphaproteobacteria bacterium. RNAcentral's name for it is "bacterial SSU rRNA". It matches the Rfam family "Bacterial small subunit ribosomal RNA", at positions 958 to 1397 of the family's 1533-position model. The record is from RNAcentral. Lineage: Bacteria; Pseudomonadati; Pseudomonadota; Alphaproteobacteria.
AACGCGCCNAACCUAACCAACACUUGACAUGUUCGUCGCGACUCUAAGAGAUUAGAGUUUUCGGUUCGGCCGGACGAAACACAGGUGCUGCAUGGCUGUCGUCAGCUCGUGUCGUGAGAUGUUGGGUUAAGUCCCGCAACGAGCGCAACCCUCACUUUUAGUUGCCAUCAUUAAGUUGGGCACUCUGAAAGAACUGCCAGUGAUAAGCUGGAGGAAGGUGGGGAUGACGUCAAGUCCUCAUGGCCCUUACGUGUUGGGCUACACACGUGCUACAAUGGCAUCUACAACAGGAAGCAAAACGGCAACGUUAAGCAAAUCCCGAAAAGAUGCCUCAGUUCGGAUUGCACUCUGCAACUCGAGUGCAUGAAGCUGGAAUUACUAGUAAUCGUGGAUCAGCGUGCCACGGUGAAUGCGUUCCCGGGUCUUGUACACACCGCCCGU